Molecule: long non-coding RNA, 366 nt
Filed under: Mytilus galloprovincialis (Mediterranean mussel)
Lineage: Eukaryota; Metazoa; Mollusca; Bivalvia; Mytilida; Mytilidae
Source: RNAcentral
CAAAUUUAAGAUAAAGUUUUCCGUUUAUAGGACCAAUAUAGAAGGUAGUAAUACUUAAUCAUUAUGGAAAUAUAAAUCCGUUUAAAAAAAAUAUUUUUUUGCUUUCGUGAUGUUUUUUGACGAUUUUUUUUGUUUUUUACAAAAUUUACAUAAAACGACAAUUUGAAAAACAGAAGUUUCAACUAAUGAUGCCAACCUCUCAUUUAAAGGUAAAGACAAUGUUUGCCAUCAAUUUGUUUUUAAAAAUCAUACAGUUUCUUCGUUUAUUUGUUUACCAAAGUUCGGCCCCACGAGAAAAUCGUUAAAAUGUAUACAUUAUCAACUGAUUUAUCAUAGACAGUAUGUGUAAAGUGAUAUUCAAAAAGC